GAGCUGCCAAGUAGGGCUGGAAAGAGACACUCGGCAGGUAGAUCUUGCCGUAACAAGGAGAAGAAACUCAUGGAUUUCACCUAAGACCAGAGAAGGGAACAUUCCCAAGAGACUUGGAGGUUCCAUCUCUCAAGCAACCUGAAAUUAGCAGGGAUUUCUCCUGCGGCUUUGCCAUGAUGUGGGGAAAAGGGAAGUGGUUUUGACGCAAGGGACAGAGGGAGUGUUGGCGGUGGCAGGGGGAGCAGGGGCAGCAGCUCACUUACGGGUUAAAACCACCCUGGAGAGGCCCAGCUCUCUGAAGUUCGACAUCAGAAUAUACAUUCGAGAAUUCCCGACCGAGGCCAUCUGCUCUGCAGGCAGAAAG
Molecule: long non-coding RNA, 364 nt
Filed under: Homo sapiens (human)
Lineage: Eukaryota; Metazoa; Chordata; Mammalia; Primates; Hominidae
Description: non-protein coding lnc-POMP-6:1
Source: RNAcentral